RNAcentral lists this unclassified non-coding RNA (328 nucleotides) under soil metagenome. RNAcentral's name for it is "partial contains 5.8S ribosomal RNA, internal transcribed spacer 2, and large subunit ribosomal RNA". The stretch from base 1 to 120 matches the Rfam family "5.8S ribosomal RNA", at positions 35 to 154 of the family's 154-position model. The record is from RNAcentral.
GAUGAAGAACGCAGCGAAAUGCGAUAAGUAAUGUGAAUUGCAGAAUUCAGUGAAUCAUCGAAUCUUUGAACACACAUUGCGCCCCUCGGUAUUCCGAGGGGCAUGCCUGUUCGAGCGUCAUUAUAACCCUUCAAGCUCAGCUUGGUGUUGGGGCCUGCUGUAACUGGUAGCCCUUAAAAUCAGUGGCAGUGCUAUUAGGCUCUAAGCGUAGUAAUUCUUCUCGCUAUAGUGUGUAGUGAGCGCUUGCCAGAACCCCAAACUUUUAUAUGAUUGACCUCGGAUCAGGUAGGGAUACCCGCUGAACUUAAGCAUAUCAAUAAGCGGAGGA